Molecule: transfer-messenger RNA, 351 nt
Filed under: Thermoanaerobacterales bacterium
Lineage: Bacteria; Bacillati; Bacillota; Clostridia; Thermoanaerobacterales
Also listed under: 1 other name
Rfam family: transfer-messenger RNA
About the family: Bacterial tmRNA, also known as 10Sa RNA or SsrA, is named for its dual tRNA and mRNA-like properties. Its role is to liberate the mRNA from a stalled ribosome. To accomplish this part of the tmRNA is used as a reading frame that ends in a translation stop signal.
Source: RNAcentral
GGGGGCGUUUGGUUUCGACGGGGGUAGUAUGGACGAGAGCAGCGAGCCGAGUUUCCACCUCGCUAACUGGAAAACUUAAAUUAAACGCAGACAAUAAUUACGCAUACGCAGCUUAAUUAAAAGCUGCGCGCUUUACCGGGCUUCUGCCUGUGAAGACCGGAUAAAGUGUCAUAUGAAACAGGCUAUAUCCCUUUAACCGCCUUGAUAAAGGGAAAGAAACUAAGAGGCUAGCGAUGUAGGAAUCCUGCUCUUUGGAGUUCUACAGAGCGAAAUCAAAAAAAAGAGCUACACUCGUAGAAGCUUUCGUUGGUAUACCUUCGGACAGGGGUUCGAUUCCCCUCGCCUCCACCA